GCGCGACGCUCUCCCCAAGGACGAAGCCAUGCAUGCCCGCUCACCCGGGACGCGGCGGACGGCUCAGGACAACGGUUGCACCCCCCGCGGCGGUCCCUGCUAGCCGGACACCGCUGGCAACCCGGCGCCAAGACGUGCGCGCAAGGGCGGGCGCCCGCGGGCGAGCAGCGUGACGCAGCGACGGCCCGCCCGGGCUUCCGGGGCAUCACCCGGUCGGCGCGGUCGCGGCGCGCCGAGGGCCCGACGCCUGGCGGAGAAUCAGG
This 263-nucleotide ribosomal RNA is filed under the name Giardia duodenalis. RNAcentral's name for it is "Giardia intestinalis partial small subunit ribosomal RNA". Lineage: Eukaryota; Fornicata; Diplomonadida; Hexamitidae. The record is from RNAcentral.